CUGUAAUGCACUGGGCUGGUGGUAGGGUAAUAAAGUGCCCUGGUUUGCCCUGGACGAAAACCAACAGUGUUUUCUAGAUGCGAGUUAAAACUGGGACUUUCCCGGGCAAAUCAGGAUGAAUUGGUCAUCCUAGCUGAUUAGAGUGUGGGAGUGGGAUGGUUUGGGGGUCUUUUAUAAGCUGCCGUGUUUCAACUGACUAUUGGGUGGGUGAUUGUUUGCACACUUGGGUCAUUCUACCUGCUGGCUCAGGUGACUGAGACCCUUGAACUCCAGUAGGUCCAUGAGCUCUUCCUCUUACUCCUAUGUACCCUGGUUUCUCUGGGCACAAUGCCCAGAGACCAGCCUCGAGGGAAGACCACUGCUCCCAACAAUCCUCCUGGCUUACUUGCCACCAUGCCACUUCCCCUACGUAACGAACCAUUGUUGGGACUAAAGUACAUCCCUUCAGGAAGAAAACAGCAGCUCUCUACUUUGCAUCAGAGUUAGAAAAAAUGAGCUAGACCCUUUUGGCAACCCAUCUUGCAGAUGAGGAAACUGGAUUCUAGGGAAGUUCAGACCUGCCCCUGGAAAAAAGAGCCCAGACCUCAUCAUGAAUGCUGUCCUAGGAGAAAAUGAACAGCUGGAGAAUGCUCCUGAUCAGUAGGCCUGAAGGAUGCUGGGAUACAGCCUUCAAGAUGGAGCAGCCAGGAUGCCAAGUAUCCCUCUUGCCCAGAUCUAAGGCACUUUUUCCUACUGAUCCAUAUUGGCCUCAGGAGAUGUCUCAACACAGCACCCCAGCCAAUGGAGUUGCCACAUAAGAUGAACUUGUGAUCAUCUCUAAACUAGAGAGUUAAACUCAACACUAGUAAAUGACUUUGGGUUUAUGUAUAUGUCAUGUUUUCUCCGGCAACUGCUCAGAAUCAUCUCUAAAUAUCACGUCUAUGGUUGGCAGGAGUGGCAUGUAUAAUACAAAAUGUCUGGUGGCCCUAUUGUCACAAAACCUGUAUAAAAGUAAAUUCACAAAUGGCUUUUUAGAACUGAUGACAAAAAGUUACUCGUUAUCACUUUUCUACUUAAUUUCCUAAAAGGGCAAUUUGAAAUCACACUAGGAUUCUCACAAUUUUGGUUGACACUCAAGUAAACUGCAGCUACUUAUCAAGCACUUUUGAAUGAACAUAUGAAGAAUGAAUAAAAUGAAAGCUCUCCUGUUGCCCUCAGCGUCA
This 1202-nucleotide long non-coding RNA is filed under the name Homo sapiens (human). RNAcentral describes it as "HSALNT0038082". The record is from RNAcentral. Lineage: Eukaryota; Metazoa; Chordata; Mammalia; Primates; Hominidae.